AUACGGAGGGUGCAAGCGUUAAUCGGAAUUACUGGGCGUAAAGCGCGCGUAGGUGGUUAGUUAAGUUGGAUGUGAAAGCCCUGGGCUUAACCUGGGAAUGGCAUUCAAAACUGGCUGACUAGAGUAUGGUAGAGGGAAGGGGAAUUCCAGGUGUAGCGGUGAAAUGCGUAGAUAUCUGGAGGAACAUCAGUGGCGAAGGCGCCUUCCUGGACUAAUACUGACACUGAGGUGCGAAAGCGUGGGUAGCAAACAGGAGUAGAUACCCUAGUAGUCC
Molecule: ribosomal RNA, 274 nt
Filed under: uncultured bacterium
Lineage: Bacteria
Description: partial 16S ribosomal RNA
Rfam family: Bacterial small subunit ribosomal RNA
Source: RNAcentral